ACCUGACUGCUAUCGGAUUGAUACUAAGCCAUGCGAGUCUUUGUAGUAAUACAAGGCAGACGGCUCAGUAACACGUAGUCAACCUACCCUAUGGACGAGAAUAAUCUCGGGAAACUGAGCAUAAUUCUUGAUAGAUCAUAAUGCCUGGAAUGGUUUAUGGUUAAAAUGAUUCGUCGCCAUAGGAUGGGACUGCGGCCUAUCAGCUUGUUGGUGAGGUAAUGGCCCACCAAGGCGAUUACAGGUACGGGCUCUGAGAGGAGAAGCCCGGAGAUGGGUACUGAGACACGGACCCAGGCCCUAUGGGGCGCAGCAGGCGAGAAAACUUUGCAAUGUGCGAAAGCACGACAAGGUUAAUCCGAGUGAUUUCUGCUAAAGAAAUCUUUUGCCAGUCAUAAAACCACUGGUGAAUAAGGGGUGGGCAAGUUCUGGUGUCAGCCGCCGCGGUAAAACCAGCACCUCAAGUGGUCAGGAUGAUUAUUGGGCCUAAAGCAUCCGUAGCCGGCUUUGUAAGUUUUCGGUUAAAUCCAUGUGCUCAACGCAUGGGCUGCCGAAAAUACUGCAUGGCUAGGGAGUGGGAGAGGUAGACGGUACUCAGUAGGAAGGGGUAAAAUCCUUUGAUCUAUUGAUGACCACCUGUGGCGAAGGCGGUCUACCAGAACACGUUCGACGGUGAGGGAUGAAAGCUGGGGGAGCAAACCGGAUUAGAUACCCGGGUAGUCCCAGCUGUAAACGAUGCAGACUCGAUGAUGCAUUGGCAUAAUAGCCAGUGCAGUGUCGCAGGGAAGCCGUUAAGUCUGCCGCCUGGGAAGUA
This 811-nucleotide ribosomal RNA is filed under the name uncultured marine group I thaumarchaeote. RNAcentral describes it as "SSU rRNA". It matches the Rfam family "Archaeal small subunit ribosomal RNA", at positions 21 to 837 of the family's 1478-position model. Lineage: Archaea; Thermoproteati; Nitrososphaerota. The record is from RNAcentral.